GGGGGUGUAGCUCAUCUGGUAGAGCGCGUGCUUAGCAUCUCCAGGAGUCGUUCUUCUUCUGAGCGACAUACCGGUACAUGUUACCUGCACGAGGUACUGGGUUCGACUCCCAGCUCCUCCA
RNAcentral lists this transfer RNA (121 nucleotides) under Coniochaeta sp. 2T2.1. It matches the Rfam family "tRNA". From Rfam's summary of the family: Transfer RNA (tRNA) molecules are approximately 80 nucleotides in length. The record is from Rfam by way of RNAcentral. Lineage: Eukaryota; Fungi; Ascomycota; Sordariomycetes; Coniochaetales; Coniochaetaceae.